GAAAUAAGCACAGGUCAAGCAAGAAUGAGAUGGGGUCGCUAAUAUGAUAAGAUAUUUUCUGUCAAAUUAGUGGCAUCCCACUGUUAGCUUAAAAUUGAAUAUCAUUAUUAUUCUUUUGAAGGUAGUAGUCUUAUAGUGCUUUCAAAUAACCUUAAGGUGAUAUUCAAUGCAUCAAUCUAGUUCUGCUGGAAUGAGGGUGUUAUGGAUUUCCUAUCUGCUAGUUGGGGGCAUUGCAUGUUUCCCUGUGGAGAACGAAUCUGGUGCUAAUACACGCUUACUGCGGCAGCCACUUUCUUGGAAUUUGUUCAGUAGAAUGGGGGGAGGGUCUGACCCAGGCAGCAGCCCCCAUCUACCAAGUGUACCUAACCCAAGUUCUCACAAAGCCGCUGGAGAUGCAGCUUCUCAAGAUGGUAUAUCCAGUGCUGGCUGGGCCAGUUUCAGAAGCUCGCCAGCUGUUUACCGCAGCAACACUGCUGUGGGUAAUGUGUUUCACGGGGGCUCCGCUAGUUUUGGAGAUGGACUCUACAAUAGUCCUGAGGUCAAUGUGUAUGGGGUUGGUUAUUAUGGGAAUGAUCGUAGUGCUCCAGAUGGUAGCUUGGAUAGUGCUCAUAUAGGUGACAGUUGGACUUCUGAACCGGCAGCUGGCUAUGAUACCAUCGAUGAAAUCCCUAAGCCAGUCUUCAAUGACGUGUCCAAUCUGGAGCCUGUCUACUCUUUUAGUUCUCAUUCAAGCUACCAACGAGGAAGAACCGUAUUUGCUCAAACCCACUUCUACCCAAGGCUGCAUGGUCCCCAACACAUGCUAGUACGUAUCAGCAAAAGUACUAAGCAAAGUCUUCCUGACAAAAUUCCAACUAAAAGGGCCUUCUGAAGUAUCUGUGGUUUUAUGUUCCAAAAGACUUGCUGCUGAUUCUGUUCAAACGGAUUCUAAUAAAAAGCCUUCAUUUUUAUAUAUAUAUAUAUAUAUAUAUAUAU
Long non-coding RNA from Pungitius pungitius (ninespine stickleback), 975 nucleotides. RefSeq lists it as uncharacterized. NCBI's taxonomy places the organism in Eukaryota, Metazoa, Chordata, Actinopteri, Perciformes, Gasterosteidae. The transcript has 4 exons. The record is from RefSeq and is a predicted model, not a curated record.